RNAcentral lists this ribosomal RNA (253 nucleotides) under uncultured bacterium. RNAcentral describes it as "partial 16S ribosomal RNA". It matches the Rfam family "Bacterial small subunit ribosomal RNA", at positions 524 to 776 of the family's 1533-position model. The record is from RNAcentral.
GACGGAGGGUGCAAGCGUUGUUCGGAAUUACUGGGCGUAAAGGGCGCGUAGGCGGUCUGUUAAGUUCGGUGUGAAAGCCCCCGGCUCACCUGGGGAACUGCGCCGGAAACCGACAGACUCGAGUACCGGAGAGGAGGGUGGAAUUCCUGGUGUAGCGGUGAAAUGCGUAGAUAUCGGAAGGAACAUCAGUGGCGAAAGCGGCUUCCUGGUCCAGCACCGACGUUCAGGCACGAAAGCGUGGGGAGCAAACAGG